GGUGACUUAGCUCAGUUGGAAGAGCACUACGCUGAUAUCGUAGCGGUCGGCGGUUCGAACCUGUCAGUCACCA
Molecule: transfer RNA, 73 nt
Filed under: Chitinophaga niabensis
Lineage: Bacteria; Pseudomonadati; Bacteroidota; Chitinophagia; Chitinophagales; Chitinophagaceae
Rfam family: tRNA
About the family: Transfer RNA (tRNA) molecules are approximately 80 nucleotides in length.
Source: Rfam by way of RNAcentral